UACAGAGGUCUCAAGCGUUGUUCGGAUUCAUUGGGCGUAAAGGGUGCGUAGGCGGCGCGGUAAGUCGGGUGUGAAAUCUCGGAGCUUAACUCCGAAACUGCAUUCGAUACUGCCGUGCUUGAGGACUGGAGAGGAGACUGGAAUUUACGGUGUAGCGGUGAAAUGCGUAGAUAUCGUAAGGAAGGCCAGUGGCGAAGGCGAGUUCCUGGACAGUAACUGACGCUGAGGCACGAAGGCCAGGGGAGCAAACGGG
Molecule: ribosomal RNA, 253 nt
Filed under: uncultured bacterium
Lineage: Bacteria
Description: partial 16S ribosomal RNA
Rfam family: Bacterial small subunit ribosomal RNA
Source: RNAcentral